AACGAACGCUGGCGGCAUGCCUAACGCAUGCAAGUCGAACGAGACCUUCGGGUCUAGUGGCGCACGGGUGCGUAACGCGUGGGAACCUGCCCUUAGGUUCGGAAUAACUCCCCGAAAGGGGUGCUAAUACCGGAUAAUGUCUUCGGACCAAAGAUUUAUCGCCUUUGGAUGGGCCCGCGUUGGAUUAGCUAGUUGGUAGGGUAAAAGCCUACCAAGGCGACGAUCCAUAGCUGGUCUGAGAGGAUGAUCAGCCACACUGGGACUGAGACACGGCCCAGACUCCUACGGGAAGCAGCAGUGGGGAAUAUUGGACAAUGGGCGAAAGCCUGAUCCAGCAAUGCCGCGUGAGUGAUGAAGGCCUUAGGGUUGUAAAGCUCUUUUACCCGGGAUGAUAAUGACAGUACCGGGAGAAUAAGCUCCGGCUAACUCCGUG
Molecule: ribosomal RNA, 433 nt
Filed under: uncultured bacterium
Lineage: Bacteria
Description: partial 16S ribosomal RNA
Rfam family: Bacterial small subunit ribosomal RNA
Source: RNAcentral